AAUUCAUUCAUUCACAUUCUAUAAAAUUUCCAGAUUCCAUAAUUUGUUAACAGAUUGAAAAUGAAGAUCAUCUUCGUUCUAGUUUUAAUACUGCUUGCCAGUGUUUAUUCACAAGUUUCGAUGCCUCCUGGAUAUAAGGAAAAGUAUCCCAAAUAUUACUACUUAU
Molecule: long non-coding RNA, 166 nt
Organism: Zerene cesonia (dogface butterfly)
Lineage: Eukaryota; Metazoa; Arthropoda; Insecta; Lepidoptera; Pieridae
Exons: 3
Source: RefSeq, a predicted model, not a curated record